Molecule: long non-coding RNA, 304 nt
Filed under: Coturnix japonica (Japanese quail)
Lineage: Eukaryota; Metazoa; Chordata; Aves; Galliformes; Phasianidae
Description: lncRNA (ENSCJPG00005017964.1)
Source: RNAcentral
AAAUUUUCCUAAAGAGGAAUGAUACCGCUGUUGUAGGAUCAAUAAUUUUCCAGUGUCACUAAAUUGAUGCUCAGUGCAGAAGAUACAUAGUUUUAAAAGGCAGAAGAGACAAUGCAAACUUUCUCUUCAUAAUUUCUUCUUCUUGUGCCAUUGUUUUCUGAUAUAUUUUUUUCUGAUCUUUUCAACCAGCAUCCUUCUACAAUGUGUGAAGACCUUCCAUUUUGUGCUCAGGGCACUGAAAGUGCUGGUGAUCUACAUGUCCUGUAGAUUGAUUUCUCUAUUUGAGACAUUCAUCCACAACAAC